RNAcentral lists this long non-coding RNA (238 nucleotides) under Mytilus galloprovincialis (Mediterranean mussel). The record is from RNAcentral. Lineage: Eukaryota; Metazoa; Mollusca; Bivalvia; Mytilida; Mytilidae.
GGGCACUAUAAUAAAAAAUGUAUUUAAUCCUCUAUAACUCUUUGACACAAUUGACACAUUUUCUCUUGUUCCUGAAGCUCCUUAUAGCAUCCAAUUUCUAUUUCCAAUUUAUGAGCACUAAUAAUGAAUUUUGUUAACAAUUGUUCAUGUUUCUGAUUUUCUAAUUUCUCAAAUGUAUAAUUUUUCCAUAUUUUAUCGUACUUGAUCUUGUUGAAAAGAAAAAGUUUGAUUUUUUUUA